Molecule: ribosomal RNA, 443 nt
Filed under: uncultured bacterium
Lineage: Bacteria
Description: partial 16S ribosomal RNA
Rfam family: Bacterial small subunit ribosomal RNA
Source: RNAcentral
CCUACGGGAGGCAGCAGUGGGGAAUAUUGGGCAAUGGGCGCAAGCCUGACCCAGCAACGCCGCGUGAAGGAAGAAGGCUUUCGGGUUGUAAACUUCUUUUCUGAGGGACGAAGAAAGUGACGGUACCUCAGGAAUAAGCCACGGCUAACUACGUGCCAGCAGCCGCGGUAAUACGUAGGUGGCAAGCGUUAUCCGGAUGUAUUGGGUGUAAAGGGCGUGUAGGCGGGAAAGCAAGUCAGAUGUGAAAACUCAGGGCUCAACCCUGAGCCUGCAUUUGAAACUGUUUUGCUUGAGGGCUGGAGAGGUAAGGGGAAUUCCGGGUGUAGCGGUGAAAUGCGGAGAUAUUAGGAGGAACACCAGUGGCGAAGGCGGCUUGCUGGACAGUAACUGACGUUGAGGCGCGAAAGCGUGGGGAGCAAACAGGAUUAGAUACCCGAGUAGUC